RNAcentral lists this ribosomal RNA (633 nucleotides) under Basidiomycota sp. 2 RB-2011. RNAcentral describes it as "eukaryotic LSU rRNA". The stretch from base 223 to 376 matches the Rfam family "5.8S ribosomal RNA". The record is from RNAcentral. Lineage: Eukaryota; Fungi; Basidiomycota.
CUUGGUCAUUUAGAGGAAGUAAAAGUCGUAACAAGGUUUCCGUAGGUGAACCUGCGGAAGGAUCAUUACAGAAGUGUUAUAUCUCUUCUAUCUUCCCCCCCUUUGUGCACCUUUGCUGUAGGCUAGUAGCUUGUCAAAAGCGAACACUUACAAGUCUUUUCUAAUACUACUACUGUAUUGGGUUGGAUCGAAAGGCUUUUGUCAUUAAUUGGAAAUAAAUACAACUUUCAGCAACGGAUCUCUUGGCUCUCGCAUCGAUGAAGAACGCAGCGAAAUGCGAUAAGUAAUGUGAAUUGCAGAUUUCAGUGAAUCAUCGAAUCUUUGAACGCACCUUGCACCUCUUGGUAUUCCGAGAGGUACACCUGUUUGAGUGUCAUGACUUCUAUCCACUUCAAUACUGUUGUUUGGUUUGAAGCUGGGACUUGGAGGCUGUGUUGUGUGUAUCACUACACUCCUCUUGAAUGCAUUAGUAAAGUGUACCCUUGUGGGAAGCCGUUGGUGUGAUAGUAGAUCAGAUCACCUCUGGCAAAUAGGGGCACUUGGCUUCUAACACCCCUAUCUUUGGUUGACGCGACUUGACCUCAAAUCAGGUGGGACUACCCGCUGAACUUAAGCAUAUCAAUAAGCGGAGGA